RNAcentral lists this transfer RNA (59 nucleotides) under Tachyglossus aculeatus (Australian echidna). Its description in RNAcentral is "transfer RNA-Ser (AGY)". The record is from RNAcentral. Lineage: Eukaryota; Metazoa; Chordata; Mammalia; Monotremata; Tachyglossidae.
GAGAGAGAAAUAAGAACUGCUAAUCCUUAAUCUCAUGUCUAACCACAUGACUCUACUUU